Molecule: long non-coding RNA, 798 nt
Filed under: Androctonus crassicauda
Lineage: Eukaryota; Metazoa; Arthropoda; Arachnida; Scorpiones; Buthidae
Source: RNAcentral
AGAUGACAACCUUAAGAUAUUUACAUAAUUAUUGGCCAAACCAUUUCAUAGAUAGAAAGGAAACUUUAUUAUUUUGUACUUUCAAGAUAGUCGAAUAUAACGCCAUGUUAAGAAAAUUAUAUGCCAAAUGCUUAUGGAAGGGAAAAAUAUAUUCAGACAUGUCUUAAAAAUUCAUCUUACUCCCAGAUCGGAGUAAGAUGACGAACCUGUUGUCUUUAGCAGUAAUCACAAAUAAACGCACUGCAUCCUUCACAAUUGGAGCAAUCUUCGAUCCACCAUUCUUUACAUUGGAAAGGACACAUUUCUCAUUCUCAUUAAGAACACAUUAGGCUAUAUGUUAUUGAGAAUAUCUGCAUUGAUAAGAACAAUCCAAUCUUCAGUAGCAAUCGUCCUUCUCAAUCAAUCUUCAGCAGCCUUCUUUGUUUCCUGGUUAAAUAUAUAUCUAUGUUAUGUAUAUUAUGAUGUAAAGAAAAAAAUCUGGAACUAUCCGCGUCACUUUUUCACAUAUUCGUCAUCAUACCUUUAUUAUCUGGCCACUUUUAUGAACCCUAUUUUUAAGCUGUCAUCUUCCAUCGCUCUCUUUCAUCUGGUACUUACUGGUUAGGCAUAGCAGCUUACAGCAUAUGAUGCAUAAAUCACCAUCAAUGAACAGUUUCCGAAUUAUAUCAAAUUCAUCGUCUUACCCUGGUCUUCCCUACUUAAAUAUAUUCAAUAAUUCUCUGCAGCAUGUAUCAUGAAAAUUUCUUAGUAAUCCACAUAUCGAAUGCAGAUAUGUUUUUAAAUAAAUUUUAACCUUCU